RNAcentral lists this ribosomal RNA (541 nucleotides) under uncultured bacterium. Its description in RNAcentral is "partial 16S ribosomal RNA". It matches the Rfam family "Bacterial small subunit ribosomal RNA", at positions 355 to 889 of the family's 1533-position model. The record is from RNAcentral.
UGGGGAAUUUUGGACAAUGGGGGCAACUCUGAUCCAGCCAUCCCGCGUGUGCGAUGAAGGCCUUCGGGUUGUAAAGCACUUUUGGCAGGGAAGAAACAGCCUGGGAUAAUACCCCGGGCGACUGACGGUACCUGCAGAAUAAGCACCGGCUAACUACGUGCCAGCAGCCGCGGUAAUACGUAGGGUGCAAGCGUUAAUCGGAAUUACUGGGCGUAAAGCGUGCGCAGGCGGUUCGGAAAGAAAGGUGUGAAAUCCCAGGGCUUAACCUUGGAACUGCACUUUUAACUACCGAGCUAGAGUACGUCAGAGGGGGGUAGAAUUCCACGUGUAGCAGUGAAAUGCGUAGAGAUGUGGAGGAAUACCGAUGGCGAAGGCAGCCCCCUGGGAUGAUACUGACGCUCAUGCACGAAAGCGUGGGGAGCAAACAGGAUUAGAUACCCUGGUAGUCCACGCCCUAAACGAUGUCAACUAGCUGUUGGGGUUUAUUAACCUUAGUAGCGCAGCUAACGCGUGAAGUUGACCGCCUGGGGAGUACGGUCGC